UUACCCACUUUUCCUUUAAAACCACAAUUUAACAUUCUUUAAACUAUUGGAUA
Molecule: transfer RNA, 53 nt
Filed under: Hygrobates turcicus
Lineage: Eukaryota; Metazoa; Arthropoda; Arachnida; Trombidiformes; Hygrobatidae
Description: tRNA-His
Source: RNAcentral